Molecule: long non-coding RNA, 489 nt
Filed under: Gossypium raimondii (Peruvian cotton)
Lineage: Eukaryota; Viridiplantae; Streptophyta; Magnoliopsida; Malvales; Malvaceae
Description: long non-coding RNA (GRAI_LNC001913)
Source: RNAcentral
AGGCAGAACACAAACAGAAAUAGAAGCAGAGGACAAAACGAAAGGGAUAAAAACGAAAGAGAAAAUACAAAGGAAAAAAGGGAGAGGAGAACUCAUAAAUCAUCAGAAACGAAGCAACAGUUGAGUCAAUCUUGACAGGAUACAAUCAAAGUUGCGAAAUUUGUGGUUAAAAGGUAAGCUUGUAUCUUGAUUUAGGGUUUGGGUUUAGUGUAAUUUGGGAAUUUGGGGAUUAGAGUCCAAGUUCAAUCACCAAGCUUGUACCAGUUUGUUUGGGAAUUUGGGGAAUUUGGGAAUUUUUGCGUGUCUAGGGUUUGGGAAGAAGUACCGAUCUUCUGUGUUUGCUUUCUAAUUUGUUCUUCUCAUUGUUGAAGAGUUAAAAAUAACACUUGUUCUUAUGUUCAAGUUUUGUUCCCCAGAAGUAACACUGCAUUUGCCCAACUGUUAAAGAAAGGAGAACUCAAAAUUGUGGAUUAACCAUUUGUUACUGCC